AUAUCAUUGAAGUGAGAUCGACGGAGCUGACGUCCUGGAUUGAGUGCGAAUCAUUUUUACAGUUUGUUCAAGCUCGUGAAGAAAUAUAAGCUACAAUGAAGGGUUACGGCUGUCUGAUUCUGGUCCUUUGCCUGACCGGCGCCUUUGCCAUGGCAGUUCGCCAAAAGAGAUCGUUUGAAGAUUGGAAUGACUAUCGUGAACACAGCG
Acanthaster planci (crown-of-thorns starfish) is the source of this 207-nucleotide long non-coding RNA. The record is from RefSeq and is a predicted model, not a curated record. Lineage: Eukaryota; Metazoa; Echinodermata; Asteroidea; Valvatida; Acanthasteridae.